Molecule: non-coding RNA, 72 nt
Organism: Capra hircus (goat)
Lineage: Eukaryota; Metazoa; Chordata; Mammalia; Artiodactyla; Bovidae
Source: the annotation of a RefSeq genome assembly
UCCCUGGUGGUCUAGUGGUUAGGAUUUGGCGCUCUCACUGCAGCAGCCCAGGUUCGAUUCCUGGUCAGGGAA